GAGGAGAAGGACAUUUUUUGAGCCGAGACCUGUUGGAAAAGACGACUCUAUGGCCACCUAAGCAGAAAAUCCAAGUGUUCGGUUUGAGAAAUACCUAUCAUCUUGGUGCCGUGACCCGGAUCUCAACAUACUCGUUCACUGACAGACAAAGGACGACGCGCUGAAAACCAUGUACGGCCAGAGUCAACAGGACUUGGAAACAAAGUCCCGGGAAGUAACUUCUUUGCUGGACCAGCGCCCUAUGUCUGACUUUGUCUGCCAACAGCGGAUUGAAGAGAUCCAACAGGACAAGACGAACUGACAGAAACCUAAUGACAGUGAUCAAGAAGACAAAGAAAAUCAGGAAGAAUCACCAUCACCUCCAGACACUGAAGUAUCUGCUGAUCCUAAUUUCUUGACACCUGGGAGCUGCCAUUCAGCAAACUCCUGCAUGAUGUCCAUCUGGACAUUGGACUGAAACUGCAUCCCUCCGUUUGGAUGCAACUGAACUUUUACAACCUCCACUGAUCUACUCCCUGACAUCAGCGUGGAGAAUGGAAAGAUAAUGUGCUUCGAAGACAAAGACAACAAACUGAACUAUUUGACGCUUGUUUCAUUUGUGGACAACAUGGACAUUAACUGAGGGACAGUCUGGACAACUCCAAGAUCCAAUACCAGAACCAGUUGGACUGACAGGAAAUUGGAGAAAGAGGAGGAGGAAGGACUACAUGCCAGCACCAGGAGAAGGAGGGAGAAGUGAGACAGAAAGGAGACAUCCAAAGAUAAGUGUAUCAUACACACAGCUGUUAUACACUGUUUUUGCAUUGAAGAUUUGCUUGCUUGCUAACCCUGCACACAUAUUAUCUAGCCAGAAAAGGAAGUCUUGGAAGCUUUUAUGUUCAAUGUUAGACAAAUUCUCUCAGUUUCUCCUUGUUAACUCCGAGUCCUGAACAGCAGGACCACUGCUAACGAUCCUCUUAGGGUCCAUCAGCCAUAGGUUGGGAAACUGUGAAGAGAAAACUGCAAUCACUAAAAGUUCAUCAAAGAACUAACAAAAACUUGUGCCACUAAAUUACACUAACUAAAAUUUAUCAAAGAGUCUAAGCUAAUAAUGAUUUGCACAAGCUUUCAUUCCUUCUUAAGGAAAUAUCCUGGUAAUUCAUGCUAGUUUGAAAUUAAAUAAACUAUCUUUAAGUGUUGCAAAUAAUUGAAACUGCAGUGUUCAUAGACUAUAAAGUAUUUGUUGCUGUUACAUUGAACAGUUCAUUUAGAGAUUAAUUUUUAAAUUAAUGUACAUUUUAUGGAAAUGUGUUCCAGCAGCAGGGUGAUUCUCAGAAACAUGGUCCAACUUGUAGCAAAAAUUAAAAAACAUUAUAUACACACAAAAACACUCACUCUUUAUAAAACAGAUCCUAAUUUCACUUUUCACUGUAAAAGUAUAAUCUAUAUGCACAUUUUCUAGGUAAUUUUAAACAUUUUAUUCUAACUUUGACCAAAUAAAUUCAUUGCCGUAACACAAUUUCCAUGAAGAAAUUUGCAACCACAAAACCAUUUUUUUUUUCACAUUUUUUGGACACCAAGGACUUCAGUGUGCACAGAGAGACAGAAAUAAAUAAAAAUAGGCUUUUUUUUUU
Molecule: long non-coding RNA, 1613 nt
Organism: Gambusia affinis (western mosquitofish)
Lineage: Eukaryota; Metazoa; Chordata; Actinopteri; Cyprinodontiformes; Poeciliidae
Exons: 3
Source: RefSeq, a predicted model, not a curated record